AAAACGACUCUCGGCAACGGAUAUCUCGGCUCUCGCAUCGAUGAAGAACGCAGCGAAAUGCGAUACUUGGUGUGAAUUGCAGGAUCCCGCGAACCAUCGAGUCUUUGAACGCAAGUUGCGCCCUAAGCCUUCCGGACGAGGGCACGUCUGCCUGGGUGUCACUC
RNAcentral lists this ribosomal RNA (164 nucleotides) under Euphorbia epiphylloides. RNAcentral's name for it is "5.8S ribosomal RNA". It matches the Rfam family "5.8S ribosomal RNA". From Rfam's summary of the family: 5.8S ribosomal RNA (5.8S rRNA) is a component of the large subunit of the eukaryotic ribosome. The record is from RNAcentral. Lineage: Eukaryota; Viridiplantae; Streptophyta; Magnoliopsida; Malpighiales; Euphorbiaceae.